This 81-nucleotide transfer RNA is filed under the name Phycisphaerae bacterium. RNAcentral describes it as "tRNA-Tyr". It matches the Rfam family "tRNA". Rfam says of the family: Transfer RNA (tRNA) molecules are approximately 80 nucleotides in length. Their secondary structure includes four short double-helical elements and three loops (D, anti-codon, and T loops). Lineage: Bacteria; Pseudomonadati; Planctomycetota; Phycisphaerae. The record is from RNAcentral.
GAGGAAAUGGCAGAGUGGUUAAUGUGUUUGGCUGUAAACCAAAUUCUUUAUGAGUCGAAGGUUCAAAUCCUUCUUUCCUUA